UAAAAUAGUCUGAUAUAAGAAACCAAUGUGACAGGCCUAGAGAUGGGAGGUUCUAGGUUCAAAUCUGACCUCAGACACUUCCCAGCUGUGUGACCCUGGGCAAGUCACUUGACCCCCAUUGCCUAGCCCUUACCACUCUUCUACCUUGGAGCCAAUACACAGUAUUGACUCCAAGAUGGAAGGUAAAGGGUGAAAGAAGAUAAGAAGAAAGAAAGAAAGAUAUGAAGAAAGAAGGAAAGAAGGAAGGAAGGAAAGAAGAAAGAAGGAAGGAAAGAGGAAAGAAAGAAGAAAGAAGGAAGGAAGGAAAGAGGAAAGAAAGAAGAAAGAAGGAAGGAAGGAAAGAGGAAAGAAAGAAGAAAGAAAGAAGGAAGGAAAGAAAGAAGAAAGAAAGAAGAAAGAAAGAAGGAAGGAAAGAAAGAAGAAAGAAAGAAGAAAGAAAGAAGGAAGGAAGGAAGGAAGAAAGAAAGAAAGAAAGAAAGAAAGAAAGAAAGAAAGAAAGAAAGAAGGAAGGAAGGAAGGAAGAAAAAGGGGAUAGAGGGGGGAAGGGAGAGAGGGAGAGAGAGAGAGAGAGAGAGAGAGAGAGAGAGAGAGAGAGAGAGAGAGAGAUGGAGGAAAGGGAGGGUUUGUAACUCUGGCUUAC
RNAcentral lists this long non-coding RNA (640 nucleotides) under Monodelphis domestica (gray short-tailed opossum). RNAcentral describes it as "lncRNA (ENSMODG00000047280.1)". Lineage: Eukaryota; Metazoa; Chordata; Mammalia; Didelphimorphia; Didelphidae. The record is from RNAcentral.